This 469-nucleotide ribosomal RNA is filed under the name uncultured Pseudomonadota bacterium. Its description in RNAcentral is "uncultured proteobacterium partial 16S ribosomal RNA". Lineage: Bacteria; Pseudomonadati; Pseudomonadota. The record is from RNAcentral.
CUUGUUACGACUUCACCCCAGUCACUGACCCUACCGUGGGCGGCUGCCUCCCUUGCGGGUUAGCGCACCGACUUCAGGUAAAGCCAACUCCCAUGGUGUGACGGGCGGUGUGUACAAGGCCCGGGAACGUAUUCACCGCACCGUGCUGAUCUGCCAUUAAUAACGAUUCCCAGUUCAUGUGCUCCAAUUGCAAAACACAAUCCUAACUGAGACCGCUUUUUGAAAAUUGCGAACGAUUGCUCCUUUGCAUUCCUCUGGCACCGCCAUUGUAACACACUGUGUACCCCACCCUGUAAAGGCCAUGACGAAUUGACGUCAUCCCCACCUUCCUCCGGCUUAUCACCGGCAGUCCCCUUACAGAGCCCAACUGAAUGAUGGCAACUAAGGGCCAGGGUUGCGCUCGUUGCCGGACUUAACCCAACAUCUCACGAUACCAGCUGACGACAUCCAUGCAGCACCUGUCUCCGGU